Molecule: long non-coding RNA, 1003 nt
Organism: Hyaena hyaena (striped hyena)
Lineage: Eukaryota; Metazoa; Chordata; Mammalia; Carnivora; Hyaenidae
Exons: 8
Source: RefSeq, a predicted model, not a curated record
CACCAGACCACCGCCUGCCACCAUCCUCAGGCUGCUGCCCUUUGACUUCCUUCAGCAAGAGUUUUUGCCUAUUAACGAUGGUGCUGCUAUGAACAUUCCUGAAUGUCUUCUUUGAUGCCUGGGCAUUGGGUGUAUACCUAUGAGUUUGCACGAUUGCAGAAUAGCACCAGAGCACAAUCUUCAGAUACAAUCUUUGGGAGAAGACUGACAUGCAAAGAGUGACUUGCAAUCUGUAGACAAAAGAAGCUAAAAGAAAUAUGAAAAUAAAUUUGCAUACAACGGAAUCUGGCAAAGCAAGGGAGCUCAAAGAUAUUCAGGGAAAUGCAUGCCUGACAGAGAUGACUAGAAAAGCAGAGGCGAUCCAAGACUGCAUUUCCAGCACUGGUGUGAACUUGGCUUUGUUUAAUUAGUCAUACCUUCGAAGACAGGAAAGCUUCCUGGCUGCCACUGUGGUCUACCCAGCAGAAGUCUGAAUAUACACAUUGUGGUGGAGAGCAGGAUAUUCUGAGCUUUUCACAUGGCCCAACACCUAAGCACUUAUCAAGCCUGGUGACAUACAUGGUGAGCAAUGCAUCGUGUUUGCUGAUGUCUCGUUGGCUACAGCAAGGUCCGUGACUGAGCCCAGAGUCAACAUGGAAGGCAAUUACACAGGGUGGAAGUCAUGGAGGCUAUGAGUGUCACAAUCUAUCACAGGCUACAUCAUCUCUAAGGUUCUUUCUGCCCCAACAUUCUGGCUUCCUGGGGAUCAUGGAGGGGAAAACAUGGAACAGCAACUCUGCUCAGAAGUGAAAUGAAGACCCCAGCACACCAAAGCCUUCUUGCCUGGAAAUGGCGAAGCCGCUAGUCUAUACCAGCUUCCUACCAUGUGUUGCUCAUUUCCACCAAAGCCCUCCAAUUCAGGGGAAAGACUUACUGAGGAAAGGAAGAGUAAAUGAAAUGCAAUCCAAUCACUGAUACUGUUGCAUUUAUUAAUUCGUUCAUGAGGAAGAAUGGUCAGUAGGAU